This 253-nucleotide ribosomal RNA is filed under the name uncultured bacterium. Its description in RNAcentral is "partial 16S ribosomal RNA". It matches the Rfam family "Bacterial small subunit ribosomal RNA", at positions 524 to 776 of the family's 1533-position model. The record is from RNAcentral.
UACGUAGGUGGCAAGCGUUGUCCGGAUUUAUUGGGUUUAAAGGGUGCGUAGGCGGCCUUAUAAGUCAGUGCUGAAAUAUCCCGGCUUAACUGGAGGGGUGCCAUUGAUACUGCAGGGCUUGAGUGGAGUCGAAGUAGGCGGAAUUGACGGUGUAGCGGUGAAAUGCUUAGAUAUCGUCAAGAACGCCGAUAGUGAAGACAGCUUACUAGGCUUCUACUGACGCUGAGGCACGAAAGUGUGGGGAUCAAACAGG